GGUAAGGACGCGGCAGGAGGCUGGGUAAUAGGGGGUGGGGGGGGGUUGUCCGGAAUCAGUGUGCGGAGAGCGCGGGUAGGAGGUUCGGUAAGUCUGCUGGGAAAGUCCAGGGCUCAACCCUGGGAGGCCGGUGGAUACUGUCGGGCUAGAGUGCGGAAGAGGCGAGUGGAAUUCCCGGUGUAGCGGUGAAAUGCGCAGAUAUCGGGAGGAACACCAAUUGCGAAGGCAGCUCGCUGGGACGUAACUGACGCUGAGACGCGAAAGCGUGGGGAGCAAACAGGAUUAGAUACCCGAGUAGUC
Molecule: ribosomal RNA, 300 nt
Filed under: uncultured Salinirubrum sp.
Lineage: Archaea; Methanobacteriati; Methanobacteriota; Halobacteria; Halobacteriales; Haloferacaceae
Description: bacterial SSU rRNA
Rfam family: Bacterial small subunit ribosomal RNA (bases 52-300)
Source: RNAcentral